RNAcentral lists this ribosomal RNA (565 nucleotides) under uncultured bacterium. RNAcentral describes it as "bacterial SSU rRNA". It matches the Rfam family "Bacterial small subunit ribosomal RNA", at positions 338 to 917 of the family's 1533-position model. The record is from RNAcentral.
CCUACGGGAGGCAGCAGUGGGGAAUUUUCCGCAAUGGGCGAAAGCCUGACGGAGCAAUACCGCGUGAGGGAGGAAGGCUCUUGGGUUGUAAACCUCUUUUUUCAGGGAAGAUAAUGACGGUACCUGAGGAAUAAGCAUCGGCUAACUCCGUGCCAGCAGCCGCGGUAAUACGGAGGAUGCAAGCGUUAUCCGGAAUGAUUGGGCGUAAAGCGUCCGCAGGUGGUUUUAAAAGUCUGUUGUUAAAGCGUGAGGCUUAACCUCAUAAGGGCAAUGGAAACUGUAAGACUAGAGUACGUUCGGGGCAAGGGGAAUUCCCAGUGUAGCGGUGAAAUGCGUAGAGAUUGGGAAGAACACCGGUGGCGAAAGCGCCUUGCUAGGCCGUAACUGACACUGAGGGACGAAAGCUAGGGGAGCGAAUGGGAUUAGAUACCCCAGUAGUCCUAGCCGUAAACGAUGGAUACUAGGCGUUGUCUGUAUCGACCCGGACAGUGCCGUAGCUAAACGCGUUAAGUAUCCCGCCUGGGGAGUACGCACGCAAGUGUGAAACUUAAAUGAAAUUGAACGG